RNAcentral lists this RNase P RNA (398 nucleotides) under Acidimicrobiia bacterium. RNAcentral's name for it is "RNase P RNA component class A". It matches the Rfam family "Bacterial RNase P class A". From Rfam's summary of the family: Ribonuclease P (RNase P) is a ubiquitous endoribonuclease, found in archaea, bacteria and eukarya as well as chloroplasts and mitochondria. Its best characterised activity is the generation of mature 5'-ends of tRNAs by cleaving the 5'-leader elements of precursor-tRNAs. Cellular RNase Ps are ribonucleoproteins. Lineage: Bacteria; Bacillati; Actinomycetota; Acidimicrobiia. The record is from RNAcentral.
UGAGCCGGCCGGGUGGUCGCGGCGCCGGUCCGGCCGGGAGGUCGGGGACGGCGUCGAGGAAGGUCGGGGCUCCAGAGGGCAGGGUGCUGGCGAGAUGCCAGUCGGGGUGACCCGCAGGAAAGUGCCACAGAGAACAGACCGCCGAUGGGCCGCCGGGCAACCGAUGGCCACAGGCAAGGGUGAAACGGUGCGGCAAGAGCGCACCAGCGCCCGGGGUGACCCGGGCGGCUCGGCAAACCCCACCCGGAGCAAGGCCGAAACGGGGGAAGGCUGGCCCGGCCGCCGCCGAGAGGCGGCACCCCCAGGUGGGCCGCACAGAUGGAUGGCCACCCAGGCGCCGAUGUCGCAGCUGCGGCAACGGCGCUGGACAGAACCCCGCCUACAGGCCGGCUCACCGU